Molecule: ribosomal RNA, 164 nt
Filed under: Strychnos jobertiana
Lineage: Eukaryota; Viridiplantae; Streptophyta; Magnoliopsida; Gentianales; Loganiaceae
Description: 5.8S ribosomal RNA
Rfam family: 5.8S ribosomal RNA
About the family: 5.8S ribosomal RNA (5.8S rRNA) is a component of the large subunit of the eukaryotic ribosome.
Source: RNAcentral
AAAACGACUCUCGGCAACGGAUAUCUCGGCUCUCGCAUCGAUGAAGAACGUAGCAAACUGCGAUACUUGGUGUGAAUUGCAGAAUCCCGUGAACCAUSGAGUCUUUGAACGCAAGUUGCGCCCGAAGCCAUUAGGCCGAGGGCACGUCUGCCUGGGCGUCACGC